UACGGAGGAUGCAAGCGUUAUCCGGAAUCAUUGGGCGUAAAGAGUCCGUAGGUGGUGAUUCAAGUCUGCUGUUAAAUCAGGUUGCUUAACGACCUAAAGGCAGUGGAAACUGUAUAACUAGAGUCUAGGAGGGGUAGAGGGAAUUCCCAGUGUAGCGGUGAAAUGCGUAGAUAUUGGGAAGAACACCGGUGGCGAAAGCGCUCUACUGGACUAGAACUGACACUGAGGGACGAAAGCUAGGGGAGCAAAAGGG
This 253-nucleotide ribosomal RNA is filed under the name uncultured bacterium. RNAcentral describes it as "partial 16S ribosomal RNA". It matches the Rfam family "Bacterial small subunit ribosomal RNA", at positions 524 to 776 of the family's 1533-position model. The record is from RNAcentral.